Molecule: ribosomal RNA, 246 nt
Filed under: uncultured bacterium
Lineage: Bacteria
Description: partial 16S ribosomal RNA
Rfam family: Bacterial small subunit ribosomal RNA
Source: RNAcentral
UGAUCCUGGCUCAGGAUGAACGCUAGCUACAGGCUUAACACAUGCAAGUCGAGGGGAAACGGACAUCGAAAGUCUUGCUUUUGAUAGGGCGUCGACCGGCGCACUGGUGAGUAACGCGUAUCCAACCUGCCCACCACUUGGGGAUAACCUUGCGAAAGUAAGACUAAUACCCAAUGAUAUCUCUAGAAGACAUCUGAAAGGGAUUAAAGAUUUAUCGGUGUAUGGAUGGGGGAUGCGUCUGAUUAG